This 253-nucleotide ribosomal RNA is filed under the name uncultured bacterium. Its description in RNAcentral is "partial 16S ribosomal RNA". It matches the Rfam family "Bacterial small subunit ribosomal RNA", at positions 524 to 776 of the family's 1533-position model. The record is from RNAcentral.
UACAGGGGGUGCAAACGUUGCUCGGAAUUAUUGGGCGUAAAGCGCGCGUAGGCGGCUACUUAAGUCGGAUGUGAAAGCCCCUGGCUCAACUGGGGAAGUGCACCCGAAACUGAGUAGCUUGAGUGCAAAAGAGGGCCGCGGAAUUCCCGGUGUAGAGGUGAAAUUCGUAGAUAUCGGGAGGAACACCGGUGGCGAAGGCGGCGGCCUGGGUUGACACUGACGCUGAGGCGCGAAAGCCAGGGGAGCGAACGGG